This 484-nucleotide ribosomal RNA is filed under the name uncultured bacterium. Its description in RNAcentral is "partial 16S ribosomal RNA". It matches the Rfam family "Bacterial small subunit ribosomal RNA", at positions 28 to 523 of the family's 1533-position model. The record is from RNAcentral.
GACGAACGCUGGCGGCGUGCUUAACACAUGCAAGUCGAACGAUGAACCCGGAGCUUGCUCCGGUGGAUUAGUGGCGAACGGGUGAGUAACACGUGAGUAACCUGCCCUUGACUCUGGGAUAACUGCGGGAAACUGUAGCUAAUACCGGAUACGACCCUCGGCGGCAUCGCCAGGGGGUGGAAAGAAUUUCGGUCAAGGAUGGACUCGCGGCCUAUCAGCUAGUUGGUGAGGUAACGGCUCACCAAGGCGACGACGGGUAGCCGGCCUGAGAGGGUGACCGGCCACACUGGGACUGAGACACGGCCCAGACUCCUACGGGAGGCAGCAGUGGGGAAAAUUGCACAAUGGGCGCAAGCCUGAUGCAGCAACGCCGCGUGAGGGAUGACGGCCUUCGGGUUGUAAACCUCUUUUAGCAGGGAAGGAGCGAAAGUGACGGUACCUGCAGAGAAAGCACCGGCUAACUACGUGCCAGCCGCCGCCGUAA